Molecule: unclassified non-coding RNA, 266 nt
Filed under: Hevea brasiliensis (rubber tree)
Lineage: Eukaryota; Viridiplantae; Streptophyta; Magnoliopsida; Malpighiales; Euphorbiaceae
Source: RNAcentral
AGUGAAGCCUUGUGGUCAAGAAGAGAAGAAGCCAUUGACAAAAGAGAGCAUUUGAUGAAAUACUCGUUUUCACAUCGGGAGAGAAGAAACGAUCAAACUCUACAAGACUUACUAAACAGAAAGCAAAACAGAAGAAGCUACAGGAUUGACCAGUUAGUAGAACUUGACGCACCAAGAAAAGCAGGGUUGUUAGAGAAAUUGAGAUCAUUUACAGACUCAAAUGUUCCUCUAACUGAUAUGGAUGGAAUGACACAGCUUCAAGUGAG